UGACCUACGGGCGGCAGCAGUGGGGAAUAUUGCACAAUGGGCGCAAGCCUGAUGCAGCCAUGCCGCGUGUAUGAAGAAGGCCUUCGGGUUGUAAAGUACUUUCAGCGGGGAGGAAGGGAGUAAAGUUAAUACCUUUACUCAUUGACGUUACCCGCAGAAGAAGCACCGGCUAACUCCGUGCCAGCAGCCGCGGUAAUACGGAGGGUGCAAGCGUUAAUCGGAAUUACUGGGCGUAAAGCGCACGCAGGCGGUUUGUUAAGUCAGAUGUGAAAUCCCCGGGCUCAACCUGGGAACUGCAUCUGAUACUGGCAAGCUUGAGUCUCGUAGAGGGGGGUAGAAUUCCAGGUGUAGCGGUGAAAUGCGUAGAGAUCUGGAGGAAUACCGGUGGCGAAGGCGGCCCCCUGGACGAAGACUGACGCUCAGGUGCGAAAGCGUGGGGAGCAAACAGGAUUAGAUACCCGUGUAGUCUUA
RNAcentral lists this ribosomal RNA (471 nucleotides) under uncultured Enterobacteriaceae bacterium. RNAcentral describes it as "bacterial SSU rRNA". It matches the Rfam family "Bacterial small subunit ribosomal RNA", at positions 333 to 798 of the family's 1533-position model. Lineage: Bacteria; Pseudomonadati; Pseudomonadota; Gammaproteobacteria; Enterobacterales; Enterobacteriaceae. The record is from RNAcentral.